RNAcentral lists this ribosomal RNA (253 nucleotides) under uncultured bacterium. Its description in RNAcentral is "partial 16S ribosomal RNA". It matches the Rfam family "Bacterial small subunit ribosomal RNA", at positions 524 to 776 of the family's 1533-position model. The record is from RNAcentral.
UACGUAGGGCGCAAGCGUUGUCCGGAAUUAUUGGGCGUAAAGAGCUCGUAGGCGGCCAGUUGCGUCUGCUGUGAAAUCCCGAGGCUCAACCUCGGGUCUGCAGUCGAUACGGGCAAACUAGAGUAUUGCAGGGGAGACUGGAAUUCCUGGUGUAGCGGUGAAAUGCGCAGAUAUCAGGAGGAACACCGGUGGCGAAGGCGGGUCUCUGGGCAAUAACUGACGCUGAGGAGCGAAAGCGUGGGGAGCGAACAGG